This 617-nucleotide ribosomal RNA is filed under the name Bjerkandera fumosa. Its description in RNAcentral is "eukaryotic LSU rRNA". It matches the Rfam family "Eukaryotic large subunit ribosomal RNA", at positions 40 to 640 of the family's 3401-position model. Lineage: Eukaryota; Fungi; Basidiomycota; Agaricomycetes; Polyporales; Phanerochaetaceae. The record is from RNAcentral.
AUAUCAAUAAGCGGAGGAAAAGAAACUAACAAGGAUUCCCCUAGUAACUGCGAGUGAAGCGGGAAAAGCUCAAAUUUAAAAUCUGGCGGUCUUCGGCCGUCCGAGUUGUAAUCUGGAGAAGCGUCUUCCGCGCUGGACCGUGUACAAGUCUCUUGGAACAGAGCGUCGCAGAGGGUGAGAAUCCCGUCUUUGACACGGACUACCAGUGCUAUGUGAUGCGCUCUCGACGAGUCGAGUUGUUUGGGAAUGCAGCUCAAAAUGGGUGGUAAAUUCCAUCUAAAGCUAAAUAUUGGCGAGAGACCGAUAGCGAACAAGUACCGUGAGGGAAAGAUGAAAAGCACUUUGGAAAGAGAGUUAAACAGUACGUGAAAUUGCUGAAAGGGAAACGAUUGAAGUCAGUCGCGUGUGCUAGAACUCAGCCUUGCUUUUGCUUGGUGCAUUUUCUAGUGUACGGGCCAGCAUCAGUUUCGGUUGCCGGAAAAAGGCCUUGGGAAUGUGGCACCUUCGGGUGUGUUAUAGCCCUCGGUUGUAUACGGUGGCUGGGACUGAGGAACAUAGCACGCCUUUACGGCGGGGCUUCGGCCACCUUCGUGCUUUGGAUGCUGGCGUAAUGGCUU